Esox lucius (northern pike) is the source of this 1204-nucleotide long non-coding RNA. The record is from Ensembl. NCBI's taxonomy places the organism in Eukaryota, Metazoa, Chordata, Actinopteri, Esociformes, Esocidae.
GUUUCGACGUUCUGCCACGUUCCUUCCCCAAAUCACUGAGCAUGUGGAUAAUAUCUCUAACAGUGUUCGUGUAAGGUGAAAUGGAGUGGUUGUGUCCUGGUACAAGUUGUUUUCUUGAGUUAAUUACACAAUAACUGAUGAGAUGCUUUUUUGUGGCCAAACGGAGAGGAGCCCUUCAUCUCACUAGCCAAGAGUCAAACAGCGAAUUGGGUGGUCGUAAUCCUCCUGCAGCCAAACCCUGCGACCUGCAGUUCCUCCCCUAGUGAGGCCUGUCAGGGGGGGAGCAUGUCUGACAUGUGGUCUCUGGAGAGGAUGCUGAACCGGACCACUCUCUCCACACAGAGGCUGCUCCACACACACAUCCUGGCGUCUGCAGGUGCACUUCAAAGAGGCCGUGCUGGCGAGGGAGAGGCUGGAGGCCGAGUGGAGGCAGGGCGAGCGGGUAGCGCAGCAGGCCGUGUUUGCGGAGCGCCUCGUGGGGCUGCGGGAGGAGAUGGAGAGAGAGAUGAGACUGGCGGUGAUUGAGAUGUGUGGGAGGAUGAGGGCCAAGAUGCAGGGAGAGGCGGAAGAGGAGAGACUGAGAGAGGCAGAGGCCGUGGAGGCUAAAAUACAGGAGGAGAGAGAGAGGAGUGUUAGGGAGACGGAGCUACGAGUCCAACGGCAGUGUGAACAAGAGGCUCAGGAGGACCGAGAGGCUCUCCAGGAAAGACAUGCAGUGGAACUUUGCCGAAUGCAGACCAGGCAGUGGCAGCUGGAGCAGACUUUGUCCCGGGUCACAGGGGAGAAGAUGCGAUACGAAACAGAGUUUAAGAGAUUACAGUGUAGCUACAGACAGUUUGUGGAUCUGACCGAGUCCUCCCUCCACUCUGACUACCUGUUGAAGCUCCGUCACCUUGGUCGAGAGCCUGGAUACACUGAUGUGGGCGUUCAAACGGAUGAUGUCAUCAACGAGGGACACCUUCCCGGAUCAACUCAGUGAUGCAUCUUCCUGCUGCUCGAGGCAGGGGUACUGAGACACGUGCCUUUUGGAUCAGCUAAUUGUUUGCAAUCUUGAUCUGAACUAUUAGCUGUUAAAGUGUAACUCUGAUCUUAGAUCAGCACACAGGAACAUUAUCUGUCACCUUGGGCGUUCCAGUGGAGCUCCCAAAUGCCUCUGCUCUGUCAUCAGGAAUGUGUCCAUAUAGGGAAUGAAAAUUAUGCCACA